Molecule: ribosomal RNA, 199 nt
Filed under: uncultured bacterium
Lineage: Bacteria
Description: partial 16S ribosomal RNA
Rfam family: Bacterial small subunit ribosomal RNA
Source: RNAcentral
CGGAUCGGAGUCUGNAACCCGACUCCGUGAAGCUGGAUUCGCUAGUAAUCGCGCAUCAGCCAUGGCGCGGUGAAUACGUUCCCGGGCCUUGUACACACCGCCCGUCAAGCCAUGGGAGCCGGGGGUGCUUGAAGUGCGUCGCCGUGAGGCGCGCCCUAGAGCAAAACCGGUGACUGGGGCUAAGUCGUAACAAGGUACC